Molecule: long non-coding RNA, 939 nt
Filed under: Bemisia tabaci
Lineage: Eukaryota; Metazoa; Arthropoda; Insecta; Hemiptera; Aleyrodidae
Description: lncRNA ENSSWEETPG001529
Source: RNAcentral
CCUGUCAUUAGGCAUACUAUUUUAUAAAUCUUCCAAUUAUUAUAACAUGUUCUUCUCAUGUUCUAGUUCCAAACGUUAGUUUUGAGGUGUACGCGCCUAGUUUUCUUUGAAAGGUUUUUGGAGUCCCACGCUGUUAUGCUACAAGCCAAUGCAGGUCUUAAGCCCAAAGAAGGGGAAACCACAUCACAACCAUGGCAGUGGCCGAUUAAUUAUAAGGGUCAAUUCCUUCUCUGGAAGCAAUUACAGAGUUUAUCUUCUCGGAACCCCCAUUAUUUGGUGGGCCAAUUUGGUCUGUCUUGCAGUUUUUGCAGUCAUUUUUUAUUAAUUCAGUGCGUUCUCAGAGAGGAAUCAAGAUCCACCACAUAUUCAAGAAAUCAAGACAUCAUCAUUGGAUAGCUGCGUUUGGCUGAGCAUCGGAUGGGCUUUGCACUACAUCCCUUUUUGGGAAUGGGGCGAGUUCUCUACUUCAUCAUUAUUUUUCCAGCUCUUUUAUUCAGCUCCAUGUUGACAGGUAUUUUUUCUAUUCUUCAUUUUCUUUUUCUUUUUAAUUAUUGCUUUGAUGCACACUUGUACAUAUUGCAUGAGUGUAUAAUCAUCUAUUUUCUCAGGGGGCAGAAAGUCUUUUUCUUACUUCUUAGGCCGUCUUCAAAUUGCUGAACACAUAUGACUACUUUCUCUUCACAAUUUUUCAGACAACAUUAAUAUUGCUGUACCAUAAGAAUGCGCGCGUUACUAUUUGCUUUGUAUAAAAGAGGGGCCUUCCUCAUUUCCUCCAACAUGAAGGAGCUUGUUACAUAGUUUCCACUGCGUAAAAUAACAGGCCCAGUGGUUUCCAUUUCACAAAUUAAAUAUGCAUGUAAUGUUUUCCUUAAAAAAAAGUAGCACACUCAUACAAAAAAAUAAUACAUAUAAAUCGCUUUACGUCGCUUCUACCUAUCC